This 433-nucleotide ribosomal RNA is filed under the name uncultured bacterium. RNAcentral describes it as "partial 16S ribosomal RNA". It matches the Rfam family "Bacterial small subunit ribosomal RNA", at positions 29 to 507 of the family's 1533-position model. The record is from RNAcentral.
AACGAACGCUGGCGGCAUGCCUAACACAUGCAAGUCGAACGAGACCUUCGGGUCUAGUGGCGCACGGGUGCGUAACGCGUGGGAACCUGCCCUUAGGUUCGGAAUAACUCCCCGAAAGGGGUGCUAAUACCGGAUAAUGUCUUCGGACCAAAGAUUUAUCGCCUUUGGAUGGGCCCGCGUUGGAUUAGCUAGUUGGUAGGGUAAAAGUCUACCAAGGCGACGAUCCAUAGCUGGUCUGAGAGGACGAUCAGCCACACUGGGACUGAGACACGGCCCAGACUCCUACGGGAGGCAGCAGUGGGGAAUAUUGGACAAUGGGCGAAAGCCUGAUCCAGCAAUGCCGCGUGAGUGAUGAAGGCCUUAGGGUUGUAAAGCUCUUUUACCCGGGAUGAUAAUGACAGUACCGGGAGAAUAAGCUCCGGCUAACUCCGUG